AACCAUAUAUAAAGCACCUGUGGCAACAUGACUGCCUUUUCGUCUGGUUUGCCUGCUGGUUGCCACAUGCUCCUUGCACUGAGCCCCCUGUCUGCCCCUCUGCCUCAGUGUCUGUUGUCCUGUUGGUCCUUGGUAGCUGUUCCUGUCAUUGUUACAGUGAAGCAAGUUCCUGUGAGGUGGUUGCCAGCUGCUGGUCGAGGCUAGGCACUCAAGGUGGUUCCCUGCACUGUUUGCACUUCCCCCUCCCAUUUUGCUAAUUGUAAAUCACAUUGGAUUGGAAGUGUCUUUGUAAGAUAAAAUAAACAAAUGAUAUUGUAAUAAACUUUAAUACAUCUCCCUAAACUGACUAAUUGACCUCGCUGCAGUAACUAUCCCCCUUCUCUUCAAAGAUGCGCUCAUUUUUAAUUAUCAAUAAAUGUAAUUAAAUUUUCUUUUGAACCAUG
Molecule: long non-coding RNA, 443 nt
Organism: Notolabrus celidotus (New Zealand spotty)
Lineage: Eukaryota; Metazoa; Chordata; Actinopteri; Labriformes; Labridae
Exons: 4
Source: RefSeq, a predicted model, not a curated record